Long non-coding RNA from Ipomoea triloba (trilobed morning glory), 1187 nucleotides. RefSeq lists it as uncharacterized. The record is from RefSeq and is a predicted model, not a curated record. The transcript has 7 exons. NCBI's taxonomy places the organism in Eukaryota, Viridiplantae, Streptophyta, Magnoliopsida, Solanales, Convolvulaceae.
CGACUUCCUCCCAAACUGAGGCGCAGUGGACCGGCGGUGGAGUGACGACAUGUGGCUGAUCGGCGGUGGCGUGGAACUCCAUCGUCUCCAGACUCCAAGUAGAAAUUUUGAUUUGCAGUCUUGCAGAAACCAUUUAAAAGCUUAAAACUUGAAAGAAAGACAGUUGGUCAGUGUGUGCAAUGGCAUGCAAACUGCAACUACAUUGCAACUGGAUCAAGUGACAAAACUGUUCGCUUGUGGGAUGUCCAGAGUGGCGAGUGUGUCAGAAUUUUCAUUGGCCAUAGGAGUAUGAUAUUGUCGUUGGCGAUGUCACCUGAUGGUCGUUAUAUGGCAUCAGGUGAUGAAGAUGGAAAAAUCAUGGUGUGGGAUCUUGCAAGUGGUCGUUGUAUUACCCCUUUGGUUGGUCACACCUCUUGUGUAUGGACACUUGAUUUCAGCUGUGAAGGUUGUCUUCUUGCAUCUGGUUCUGCUGAUUGCACUGUGAAAUUAUGGGAUGUAACCACGAGUACCAAGAUGCCAAAAUCUGAAGAGAAUUUCUUGAAGUACCAAUAGGCUUCGAUCAUUGAAGACUCUCCCUACUAAAUCCACUCCAUUAUAUGCUUUGCGGUUUUCUCGAAGAAACCUUCUCUUUGCUGCUGGUGCUUUCUCAAAAAGUGUAUAAUGUGACGACACAUUCACUUUGGAAAAUUUAGAGGGGAUUAUGGCUUCUAGAUUACGGCAUGCCAUCAAUUCUGAGGGAGCAGGACGAUAAACCGGGGAGAACUUAGGUUGCUUUUGGACGAUUCGGGAAAAGGUGUUUAUUGGGAGAGUAAGAGCAGUUGGAAAUUCUUCUACUUGCUUUAGUUUUCAUAUGCUUCGAUUUUAGAUUAGCCUUUAUUUAUAGGAUUUUAUCUUUACUGCCUGAGAUCUAAUUAUGUUAUAUUAGCUAUAAUUUAAGCAACCCCCACAUUUAAGUGUCUCCUACUAGAUGUUCAUGCAUACAAUGAUUAGGAAGUUGACAAGUUACUUGUGUUAUAGUAGAAUUGUAUCUAGAAUCAAGUGCAAAUACUCUGUAUAGAUAAAUUAUUUAUAAAAGGCAUUGGGGGAUUCAUUUGUAAUAGAACAUCAGCUUGGAACAAUUGAAUUCUCCUCCUACUAUACUACUUUUAUAGAACCUAACUGCAUAUAAAGUAUUUUAUUACAGAAAA